Molecule: long non-coding RNA, 226 nt
Filed under: Elaeis guineensis (African oil palm)
Lineage: Eukaryota; Viridiplantae; Streptophyta; Magnoliopsida; Arecales; Arecaceae
Description: long non-coding RNA (EGUI_LNC040116)
Source: RNAcentral
CUCAGGGCAAGCAAGGUAUUAAGUCUUGAACAUAUGGAUGUUCGAAGACUAAUAAUAUUUUGACCCAGAGAUUGAUACUUCAUAUGUGAUAUGAUGUGUUCUCUAAAAAUACUUCACUAAUCUUAUUGUCUCAUUCUGAAAAAUAUCUUAAAAAUUACUGUAUAUGUUAGAUAUUGUCAAAAUCUGUUACGAGCACUCCAUAUGAGAUAUGAAAAAGAUAAAAGAC